This 486-nucleotide ribosomal RNA is filed under the name uncultured bacterium. Its description in RNAcentral is "bacterial SSU rRNA". It matches the Rfam family "Bacterial small subunit ribosomal RNA", at positions 28 to 517 of the family's 1533-position model. The record is from RNAcentral.
GACGAACGCUGGCGGCGUGCCUAACACAUGCAAGUCGAACGAAGCAUAGCAAUAUGCUUAGUGGCGGACGGGUGAGUAACGCGUGAACAAUCUGCCCUGUACAAAGGAAUAGCCUCGGGAAACCGGGAUUAAAACCGUAUGACACUUUAGUAUCGCAUGAUAAGAAAGUCAAAUCGAAUAGAGGUAUGGGAUGAGUUCGCGUCUGAUUAGCUGGUUGGCGGGGUAACGCCCACAAGGCGACGAUCAGUAGCCGGCCUGAGAGGGUGAACGGCCACACUGGAACUGAGACACGGUCCAGACUCCUACGGGAGGCAGCAGUGGGGAAUAUUGCACAAUGGAGGGAACUCUGAUGCAGCGACGCCGCGUGAGUGAAGAAGGUCUUCGGAUCGUAAAGAUCUGUUAUUAGGGAAGAAUGGAAUUGAUAGGAAAUGAUCAAUUUAUGACGGUGCCUAAUGAGGAGCCCCGGUAACUAUGUGCCAGCAGACC